Molecule: unclassified non-coding RNA, 348 nt
Filed under: soil metagenome
Description: partial contains 5.8S ribosomal RNA, internal transcribed spacer 2, and large subunit ribosomal RNA
Rfam family: 5.8S ribosomal RNA (bases 1-120)
Source: RNAcentral
GAUGAAGAACGCAGCAAAAUGCGAUAAGUAAUGUGAAUUGCAGAAUUCAGUGAAUCAUCGAAUCUUUGAACGCACAUUGCGCCCGCUGGUAUUCCGGCGGGCAUGCCUGUUCGAGCGUCAUUUCAACCCUCAAGCCCCCGGGUUUGGUGUUGGGGAUCGGCUCUGCCCUUCUGGGCGGUGCCGCCCCCGAAAUACAUUGGCGGUCUCGCUGCAGCCUCCAUUGCGUAGUAGCUAACACCUCGCAUCUGGAACGCGGCGCGGCCAUGCCGUAAAACCCCAACUUCUGAAUGUUGACCUCGGAUCAGGUAGGAAUACCCGCUGAACUUAAGCAUAUCAAUAAGCGGAGGA